RNAcentral lists this ribosomal RNA (274 nucleotides) under uncultured bacterium. RNAcentral describes it as "partial 16S ribosomal RNA". It matches the Rfam family "Bacterial small subunit ribosomal RNA", at positions 523 to 796 of the family's 1533-position model. The record is from RNAcentral.
AUACGGAGGGUGCAAGCGUUACUCGGAAUCACUGGGCGUAAAGCGCGCGCAGGCGGCUAUUUAAGUUGGAUGUGAAAGCCUACGGCUCAACCGUAGAACUGCAUCCAAAACUAUUUAGCUAGAGUGUGGGAGAGGAAGAUGGAAUUAGUUGUGUAGGGGUAAAAUCCGUAGAGAUAACUAGGAAUACCAAAAGCGAAGGCAAUCUUCUGGAACACUACUGACGCUGAGGCGCGAAAGCGUGGGGAGCAAACGGGAUUAGAAACCCGGGUAGUCC